This 3722-nucleotide long non-coding RNA is filed under the name Triticum aestivum (bread wheat). RNAcentral describes it as "long non-coding RNA (TAES_LNC011424)". The record is from RNAcentral. Lineage: Eukaryota; Viridiplantae; Streptophyta; Magnoliopsida; Poales; Poaceae.
CCUUUGGAAACUAAGAAUUACUUUUUCUAGGAUUCUUGCUGGAGGAGAUGAACUUUUAUGGUGAGUUUUUCCCCUGUAUGCCUCGCUUCAGAUAAUGUUUACCUCUGUUUAGUGCCAUUAUUGUUGUUGAACAAUUGAAGAUGUCUUAAAUGCACAUAACAUUGCUAAACCUGUAGGCUGAUGCUGUUGUUAUUAUAGAGGAGCUGUUCAAGGCCAAGGUUUUCCUUGUGAGAAUGCCAUAAUUACAAGAAAAGAUUGCCUGAAAGGUCUUUAUGGAGAUGCACUCACUCGGUCAGUUGCCCAUUGUAUUUUUUGGCCUGUUUGUUACAAUUUCUUGAGGCACAUAAUGCUGUUCGUACAACCUGCAGGUUAGAGGGCCUACCGAGGCUAGCGCGAGGUCUGCUAUGGCAUCGAUGAUGUAGGUGUCAUGACUGUGAGGACUGCUCACACUUCUCCGCUCACAAACCGUGUGGCAGAGUAAAUACUCCGGUCCACGACAAUUAGACCUUCCUCCCUCUCAGCUAUGGUAUUGCAGCGAUCUUCUUCCACCUUCAUUUGUUGAGUUGAAGCAUUAGAAGACAUCCUAUUUUUUUAGCUAUAUUUUGCAAUGUUACUGGUGAAAUAUUUUGUAUAUGGGUGAGGAUAUGGUCGCAGUGGCGUGAGCUUUUUCAUACAUUGAUUUGUUUAUGCAAACCGAUGUUUUCUGUUGUUAGGAUCAUCUGCUCUUUGAUACAUAUUUAUUACCUUCACUAUGCUCAUGGUGCUGCCAUGCUACUAUUUCUUAAUAAGCUUCUCCAUCAAACAUGUUCUAAUUAUGUCUUUCGAGCUGGGGGUUGCUCACCUGACCUUUCAUGAAAAAGAUGGCAAUCUGUUCGGUUUGCGAUCAUUUAUUUAUUUUAAUUAAGAUACCUAGGAAAGUUAGACAGACAUAAAACUUGGUCCAGGAACUCCUUGAUAUUGCAAUGGGUACUCUGUUAUCAUCUCAAUUUAUUAGUUGCUAGAGGUUGUACCUUUGACGUGGACCAUAAGUAGUCCAUAUGAGCUGAACUUUCUCCAGAGGAGAAAGUCCCGAUGCAAGCUGACAUGUUUCUUAGCUGUAAAUUUGGUUUUACCAUCGUCUGAAGAAUUUCUUCCUACCUGGUUGCUAGGCCUGACCAGUAUUCAGGCACCCUAGCCUUUUUGCCCCUUGGCAAGAAACCUUGGCAGGUGCCAUGAGCUACAGAAGCUGGAGUCCGAAACUCCUAGAGGGAUUGGAAGGUUUAUGGUGUUUGAAAUGAGAACCCAAUAAAAUUCUUUUCCAUGUCGUUGUCCAGCUGGAACUGAUAUUCUUAUUUCUCUUGUCAACACUGGAGAAGCUUAUUAAGAAACAGUGUCAGACUAAGUGGAAAUAAUUGGAAGAUUUUGCGUUAACUUAUUUCUCACUUGACCCCAUCUAUCCAGGUGCCACAAAGUGCCCAGGCAGCAGGAAGCACAUAUAAAACCAUUGAUGCUCUUUUCCGUAGGAGAAAUAAGUGAACGGGCAAUCUUUUCAUCUCUGUAUAAAUUCAGAUGUGAUUAGCCAGGUCCAGAAGGUUUGGUCUAUUUCUCACUUAAUCCCAUUUGUUCCUCUUUAGAUAGUACUUUUUCUUUGAGUUCAUAUGCGAUUAGCCUUCAUGAUGCAUGGAUGCAAAUUUUGCAGUUGGAUUCUUGAUGUGCACAUAAAUACGUUGAGAAGAUGGAACUAGAAUUAAGCUUCCGUCCAUCUGCAGGUUAGAAUAUGCCGUUAAUAGCAAAAGAUCCUUCUCAAUGUUACAUGUGCUUGAGCUGCUAUUUUGAAACAUAGCUGUUGAGGUGCUUAUCUUUUAGUUUGAGUUUUGUUAAUAUGGUCUGAAUUUAUCAUAAUUAUACUAUUUUAAGACGAAUAUAAAUUGCUGGAGUUAAUAUAUGUCAUGACCCACUGAUCAUGAACAACAAUCAACUCCUAGCCAUGCCAAAACAAAGCUAAAGAUGGAUAUUGCAAAGAAAGGUAUGACAUGAUAACCAAUACGGACAACAACAAGAUAGUAUAAUCCUUCAACAUAAGUAAAACAUAAGAUGGGGUCAACAAGCAUAUGCUUGCCUUGCUGGUCAAUGUCCUGAUGAAGCUGCGGAUCGAACUCAUAACACCCCUCGUUGCCGGACUCUAUUGAAACGACGAAGAAACCUUGGAAAAGAAGCAAACGGAGAAAAAUCAGUAUUCAUUAAUUUCCAAAAUGUGUAGAGCGCAUGAAUUGUAUGAGAUGUCAUGCAGAAAGUUGAAAAUGAAGCUACUGAAAUUGGCAACAAAAAUUUUCUUGGGCGUCUUAGAAUGCAAGUUGUGAAUUUUAAAAGAUUUAAAGACAUUUUGUUAAAGUAAAUCAUCUUUUAGACUGACUAAGCUUGAUUUUGUUAUGGAUUUUACAACUUUGAGCACUUUUAUGUGAUUUUCCUCAUAAAUCAAAUGUUAGAGUGAAAACUUUUAUAUAUAGGGAAGUCCAGCCUUAGUCUGACACUGUGACAAGCAAGUAAAUUAAACAGUACUGAAUAUGCCAUCUUUCUUCAUAGCUAAUCAAUCUCUCUUUCUCUCAUCUGCACGCAGGUCACGGCUAACGUCAUCAAGCAUCAACAUCAAGAAACAAGCAGCCAACAGAAUGCAGCAAAGCAGCUAGCGGCAGCAAGCAGCAAACAACAUCAGCAGCAUGCAGCCAGCAACAUGCAGAGGCGAUUUCUCACCUUGCUGUUAGUGCCGAGGUCGGGCGGAGCAGAGCAACGAGCUCCACACAGUGGCAAUGAUGGUCAGCGUCGAGGAAGAAUUAGGAGGGACCCAUGGCUUCGAAUGCCGAGGUCGGGCGGAGCAGAGCAACGAGCACCACACAGCGGCAAUGACGGUCAGCGUUGAGGAAUAAGUAGGAGGGACCCAUGGCGUGGUCCAGGGGAGACGUGGACAACGCGGAGCCCAUCACGGUCUGUCGAGCUGUUCGGUGAGGAGGAUGACCGCAGCGGCGACCGACGGAACCGAAGAAGGCAGCCUCGGUCCAAGAGGUUCCUGCGCGCUGGCACCCGGAAUCACCAUUAAAGGGACGACAGGAGCAACAUUAAUGAAGCUAGGAGUCUACUAGGAGCAAGAAUGCACCAGAAAUACGAGGUGGUUCCCGGCGGUGUCCAGCGGGCAUGCAUGUCAGAGCCAGAGGUGUGGACGUCGAUCCCGACCGAGGGCUGGUGUAUCCGGCCGAUUCAUUCGGUUGACGUUGCAACAGCGACUGGCAUCCCCGGCGAGCUGGACGAGAAAGGGGAUCUAGGAGGGAAAUGAAGUGAGGGAAGCAACGGGGCAGAGUAGGAGAAAAGGUGAAGGGGCAGGGGUUUGCCGGCGCGUGUCCCUGCGAGAUGGUGAUGUGGGCGUGGUGGUUCAGUAGUGGGGGCCGGUGGCAGCUGUCUUCCACCAUGUAUGCUGAAGGCAUUCCAUCUAAAACAACAUUGAGUGCGUGCUUAGAUCAGGUAAGACAAUGGCAAGAAUAAAUCCACCUAUCUGACUUUCCUCUAGGCAUUUCAAUUUGUCAGGAGCUGAAAUAUUGUGACCCGUGUUCAUUUAUGUGUUGCUAACUUUACAAGCGGCAAUCACACACUGCUUACACCAUGUACUAUUGGAUUGACGCACUUCCUUGAGCUCUAUGCGGUGCACCUGUCAAAGUUGGUAAAUGAAGCGGUAAGUUAUUCUUUUUUUCGGG